RNAcentral lists this ribosomal RNA (254 nucleotides) under uncultured bacterium. RNAcentral's name for it is "partial 16S ribosomal RNA". It matches the Rfam family "Bacterial small subunit ribosomal RNA", at positions 524 to 776 of the family's 1533-position model. The record is from RNAcentral.
UACGGGGGGGGCAAGCGUUGUUCGGAAUUACUGGGCGUAAAGGGCUCGUAGGCGGCCAACUAAGUCAGACGUGAAAUCCCUCGGCUUAACCGGGGAACUGCGUCUGAUACUGGAUGGCUUGAGUUUGGGAGAGGGAUGCGGAAUUCCAGGUGUAGCGGUGAAAUGCGUAGAUAUCUGGAGGAACACCGGUGGCGAAGGCAGCAUCCUGGACCAACACUGACGCUGAGUGAGCGAAAGCCAGGGGAGCAAACGGG